AGAGUUUGAUCAUGGCUCAGAACGAACGCUGGCGGCGUGCUUAACACAUGCAAGUCGAGUGCGCGCCUGUAGCAAUACAGGUGGCGCACGGCGCACGGGUGCGUAACACGUGGGUAAUCUGCCCUCUGAUGGGGAAUAACUCGCCGAAAGGCGAGCUAAUUCCGCAUAAUAUUCCGAGAACUUUGGUUUUUGGACUGAAAGGCGUAAGUCGUCGGAGGAGGAGCCCGCGCACGAUUAGCUAGUUGGUAGGGUAAUGGCCUACCAAGGCUUUGAUCGUUAGCUGGUCUGAGAGGAUGGCCAGCCACACUGGAACUGAGACACGGUCCAGACUCCUACGGGAGGCAGCAGUGGGGAAUCUUGCACAAUGGGCGAAAGCCUGAUGCAGCGACGCCGCGUGGGGGAUGAAGCUUCUCGGAGUGUAAACCCCUUUCGAUCCGGACGAAUACCUCGCAAGAGGGGUGACGGUACGGAUAUAAGAAGCCCCGGCUAACUACGUGCCAGCAGCCGCGGUAAUACGUAGGGGGCCAGCGUUGUUCGGAAUUACUGGGUGUAAAGGGUUCGUAGGCGGUGCGGCAAGUUGGGAGUGAAAUCUCUGGGCUUAACCCAGAGACGGCUUCCAAAACUGCUGUGCUUGAGUGUGGGAGAGGCUCGUGGAAUUGCAGGUGUAGCGGUGAAAUGCGUAGAUAUCUGCAGGAACACCCGUGGCGAAAGCGGCGAGCUGGACCACUACUGACGCUGAAGAACGAAAGCUAGGGGAGCAAACAGGAUUAGAUACCCCCGUAGUCC
RNAcentral lists this ribosomal RNA (786 nucleotides) under uncultured bacterium. Its description in RNAcentral is "bacterial SSU rRNA". It matches the Rfam family "Bacterial small subunit ribosomal RNA", at positions 8 to 796 of the family's 1533-position model. The record is from RNAcentral.